Molecule: transfer RNA, 76 nt
Filed under: Chelativorans composti
Lineage: Bacteria; Pseudomonadati; Pseudomonadota; Alphaproteobacteria; Hyphomicrobiales; Phyllobacteriaceae
Also listed under: 1 other name
Description: tRNA-Thr
Rfam family: tRNA
About the family: Transfer RNA (tRNA) molecules are approximately 80 nucleotides in length.
Source: RNAcentral
GCCCUUGUAGCUCAGCUGGUAGAGCAACCGCCUUGUAAGCGGUAGGUCGCGGGUUCGAAUCCUGCCGGGGGCACCA